This 382-nucleotide ribosomal RNA is filed under the name Bathycoccus sp. RNAcentral describes it as "partial small subunit ribosomal RNA". It matches the Rfam family "Eukaryotic small subunit ribosomal RNA", at positions 582 to 975 of the family's 1831-position model. The record is from RNAcentral. Lineage: Eukaryota; Viridiplantae; Chlorophyta; Mamiellophyceae; Mamiellales; Bathycoccaceae.
AUUCCAGCUCCAAUAGCGUAUAUUUAAGUUGUUGCAGUUAAAAAGCUCGUAGUUGGAUUUUGGUUAAGAGGGCGCGGUCGGCCGUUUGGUCUGUACUGCGUUGUCUUGACUUCCUGAUGAGGACAUGCUCUUGGUUAACGCUGAGACAUGGAGUCAUCGUGGUUACUUCGAAAAAAUUAGAGUGUUCAAAGCGGGCUUACGCUUGAAUAUAUUAGCAUGGAAUAACACUAUAGGACUCCUGUCCUAUCUCGUUGGUCUCGGGAUGGGAGUAAUGAUUAAGAGGAACAGUUGGGGGCAUUCGUAUUUCAUUGUCAGAGGUGAAAUUCUUGGAUUUAUGAAAGACGAACUUCUGCGAAAGCAUUUGCCAAGGAUGUUUUCAUCG